CCAUUCAUUCUCAAUUGUUGCAUGGACUUGUCGAACAGUGUCCGUAGACAACAAGUCAGGAAGCUUGAACUCCGGCCAUGUUGGGUGUUCAGGGAUCAAAGGUUGCAGGUGAUAUAAGGGAUAAGAAAAGAGAGCCACACACAAAAUCCAAGGGUUUGAGGAGAAUGGGUUAUAAGUCGCAUCCUGGAUGAAAAAGGGAGGUAGCAAUGUAGUCCACGACUACCACAAUUCACGUGCCUUCCGUUUGUUUUGCUGUAUAGGCUUAUUACUAGCAGGCUUAGUACUUUUUAUUGAUAAUUGACGACUGACGAGGAAGAGCUCCACAGAAAAAGACAUUAUCUAAUGCGAGUGGCUCCCAGAAAACUAAUAUCAGAUGGCUAAUAAAGGAAGCCCCAGUACGUGCUCAUAUAACAAGUACUCGUUUGUUUGGUUUUUUUGCAUACGACAAGAAGGCAUCAUCUUUGGAGCUUUUGGUGGUACAACUUUUACAUUGCGUUGCAACAAAUUGGCGUGAGGCUGUUCGCGGUUCCAAACAAAUCCCCGCAAUUUGCAAAUUUGCACCACACAAAAGAUCUUCAGCCGUGCUGGUUAAUUUCUCUAGGUUCUUGGAAAUAAGUUCUCUAGGUUCUUGGAAAUAAGCCCGUUUUAACAUGACAUGUUAUAAAUAAAAAAACUAAUAUAGAACUUAUUUGGGGAAAAAAACUCAAAACUAAAAAAUGACAAUGACAACAAGUGGCUAGUUCUGGGUUUCUCUUCAAAUAGACUCUAAGGAUUUUUGUAUAAUAUGUUAUGUUAGAUGAACUUAUUAAUAAAAAACCAUGACCCUCCAUUUGGAUGAGGGAAAAUAAUUCAGAAUUUA
Prunus persica (peach) is the source of this 859-nucleotide long non-coding RNA. RefSeq lists it as uncharacterized. The record is from RefSeq and is a predicted model, not a curated record. Lineage: Eukaryota; Viridiplantae; Streptophyta; Magnoliopsida; Rosales; Rosaceae. The transcript has 2 exons.